RNAcentral lists this long non-coding RNA (883 nucleotides) under Anser brachyrhynchus (Pink-footed goose). Its description in RNAcentral is "lncRNA (ENSABRG00000016545.1)". The record is from RNAcentral. Lineage: Eukaryota; Metazoa; Chordata; Aves; Anseriformes; Anatidae.
CCUCUAAGAAGAGAAGGACUCAAAUCAUUCACCUUGCAACAGACCACCGAGAGUCUCACCACCAUCCCGGGGACGUGGCCGCUGGCUGUGCUGGUUCUCCAGUGGAAAUUAAAAAUACUUUCUGCCACAGGACACUCUGCCUUUUUACUUCAUCCAGGAGCAUUUCUACAUUCUGCUGAAAUAACAGGAAGGCGUGGCAAUUUUUAAGCUCUAGACAAUCUUAUUUAGAAGUGAACUUCAAAUAUUUAACCACUUCAUAGUUUCUUGUUAAGUAGAGGUCUCAUAUUUGCAAGAAUUAGGGUAACAGUCUUGCUCUGAAGCUGCUUAAAUUAAUGCCAACCCCCUGACUCUGAAGAUGAAAGCCUCAAUGAAUCUGUAGGAGCAAUUUAUCAUCAUAGGAGUGAAGUAUCAUCUUACUUCUUAUGUAUCAAAGUCUAGGACAGAAUCUCAUUGACCUUCUCCAGGAGGAGAACUGGGGCACAUCAAGAUUCUGAUCACUAUCAUGUUGGUGGAAGCGGAGAGAAAAUCCCCUGAAAUGACAUCGGAACAGUAAGCAACCUGAGAAUGAAGCCCAUAAUCUCUUUGUCCCUGUGCUGUACAUGUUUUCUCUGGAGCCUAAUUUGAGAACAAAAUCUUAAUUUGUUUGAGAAAACCAAAAGCAGCUGCUGUAGUUAAUUUACUUUGGGGACACACGUGCUGAUGAGCCGGAGGAGGAUGUUAUCUCUGUCCUUUCACAAGGAGACAGAUAACGCUGUGAUGCGCGCAGGAGCUGAACUGUGUCACGUAGGUUAGGGACGGGAUGGCUCUCUUGAUUCCUGCAAAGCACAGCGGAGGGCAGCUCUCUGAGGAUGACUGAGAUGUAGGGAGCAACGGGGUCUGAAGG